RNAcentral lists this ribosomal RNA (466 nucleotides) under Salmonella enterica subsp. enterica serovar Waycross. RNAcentral's name for it is "partial 23S ribosomal RNA". It matches the Rfam family "Bacterial large subunit ribosomal RNA", at positions 1269 to 1735 of the family's 2925-position model. The record is from RNAcentral. Lineage: Bacteria; Pseudomonadati; Pseudomonadota; Gammaproteobacteria; Enterobacterales; Enterobacteriaceae.
CAUGCUGGAGGUAUCAGAAGUGCGAAUGCUGACAUAAGUAACGAUAAAGCGGGUGAAAAGCCCGCUCGCCGGAAGACCAAGGGUUCCUGUCCAACGUUAAUCGGGGCAGGGUGAGUCGACCCCUAAGGCGAGGCCGAAAGGCGUAGUCGAUGGGAAACGGGUUAAUAUUCCCGUACUUGGUGUUACUGCGAAGGGGGGACGGAGAAGGCUAUGUUGGCCGGGCGACGGUUGUCCCGGUUUAAGCGUGUAGGUGUGUGUUCCAGGUAAAUCCGGUUCACUUUAACACUGAGGCGUGACGACGAGGCACUACGGUGCUGAAGCAACAAAUGCCCUGCUUCCAGGAAAAGCCUCUAAGCAUCAGGUAACAUCAAAUCGUACCCCAAACCGACACAGGUGGUCAGGUAGAGAAUACCAAGGCGCUUGAGAGAACUCGGGUGAAGGAACUAGGCAAAAUGGUGCCGUAACU